AUUGAACGCUGGCGGCAUGCUUUACACAUGCAAGUCGAACGGUAACAGGCCGCAAGGUGCUGACGAGUGGCGAACGGGUGAGUAAUGCAUCGGAACGUGCCCAGUCGUGGGGGAUAACUACUCGAAAGAGUAGCUAAUACCGCAUACGAUCUAUGGAUGAAAGCGGGGACCGUAAGGCCUCGCGCGAUUGGAGCGGCCGAUGUCAGAUUAGGUAGUUGGUGGGGUAAAGGCUCACCAAGCCAACGAUCUGUAGCUGGUCUGAGAGGACAACCAGCCACACUGGGACUGAGACACGGCCCAGACUCCUACGGGAGGCAGCAGUGGGGAAUUUUGGACAAUGGGCGCAAGCCUGAUCCAGCAAUGCCGCGUGCAGGAAGAAGGCCUUCGGGUUGUAAACUGCUUUUGUACGGAACGAAACGGCUCUGGUUAAUACCCGGGGCUAAUGACGGUACCGUAAGAAUAAGCACCGGCUAACUACGUG
Molecule: ribosomal RNA, 481 nt
Filed under: uncultured bacterium
Lineage: Bacteria
Description: partial 16S ribosomal RNA
Rfam family: Bacterial small subunit ribosomal RNA
Source: RNAcentral